Molecule: ribosomal RNA, 151 nt
Filed under: Otidea tuomikoskii
Lineage: Eukaryota; Fungi; Ascomycota; Pezizomycetes; Pezizales; Pyronemataceae
Also listed under: 1 other name
Description: 5.8S ribosomal RNA
Rfam family: 5.8S ribosomal RNA
About the family: 5.8S ribosomal RNA (5.8S rRNA) is a component of the large subunit of the eukaryotic ribosome. It is transcribed by RNA polymerase I as part of the 45S precursor that also contains 18S and 28S rRNA. Functionally, it is thought that 5.8S rRNA may be involved in ribosome translocation.
Source: RNAcentral
AACUUUCAACAACGGAUCUCUUGGUUCUCGCAUCGAUGAAGAACGCAGCGAAAUGCGAUAAGUAGUGUGAAUUGCAGAAUUCAGUGAAUCAUCGAAUCUUUGAACGCACAUUGCGCCUCCUGGCAUUCCGGGAGGCAUGCCUGUUCGAGCG